This 350-nucleotide ribosomal RNA is filed under the name Strombidium inclinatum. Its description in RNAcentral is "partial Eukaryotic large subunit ribosomal RNA". It matches the Rfam family "Eukaryotic large subunit ribosomal RNA", at positions 103 to 458 of the family's 3401-position model. Lineage: Eukaryota; Ciliophora; Spirotrichea; Strombidiidae. The record is from RNAcentral.
AAUAGCCCAACUUGAAAAUCUCCCUUUGGAGAAUUGUAGUCUAGAGAAGCGCCCUCUGCGGCGGCCGGAGCCUAAGUCCGUUGGAAAACGGCGUCAGAGAGGGUGAGAACCCCGUCGGCUCUAGGCUUAGCUGCUCCACGAGGUGCUUUCCACGAGUCGGGUUGUUUGGGAAUGCAGCCCAAAAUGGGAGGUACAUCCCUUCUAAGGCUAAAUACUGGCGAGAGACCGAUAGCGAACAAGUACCGUGAGGGAAAGAUGAAAAGAACUUUGAAAAGAGAGUUAAAAAGUGCUUGAAAUUGUUGAGAGGGAAGCGUUUGGAGGUUAUAGGUGCGCCUAGGCUUAUACGAUUC